GAGUUGUAAUGAAAGGAGAGAAGGUUAGACUCACCUUAAGAAGGAUGGAAGAGGUCCUAGUAGCCUUUACAACACAUAAGACAUUGCCACCUUCUUCAAGGCAUCUAACCAAUUUUUUUU
Molecule: non-coding RNA, 120 nt
Filed under: Ornithorhynchus anatinus (platypus)
Lineage: Eukaryota; Metazoa; Chordata; Mammalia; Monotremata; Ornithorhynchidae
Source: RNAcentral